Small nuclear RNA from Ochotona princeps (American pika), 97 nucleotides. Its record names the gene U12. It matches the Rfam family "U12 minor spliceosomal RNA". Rfam says of the family: Although the U12 sequence is very divergent from that of U2, the two are functionally analogous. NCBI's taxonomy places the organism in Eukaryota, Metazoa, Chordata, Mammalia, Lagomorpha, Ochotonidae. The record is from Ensembl.
CUCACUGCUAAUGUGAGAUGAAUAUUUGAGCCGGUGAAAGUCGUCCCUAAGGUGAUCCGCCUACUUUGCAGGAUGCCUGGGAGCUGUGAUCUGCAAG